RNAcentral lists this transfer RNA (72 nucleotides) under Stegodyphus mimosarum. It matches the Rfam family "tRNA". Rfam says of the family: Transfer RNA (tRNA) molecules are approximately 80 nucleotides in length. Their secondary structure includes four short double-helical elements and three loops (D, anti-codon, and T loops). Lineage: Eukaryota; Metazoa; Arthropoda; Arachnida; Araneae; Eresidae. The record is from Rfam by way of RNAcentral.
GCCUUUGUGGUGUAAUGGUAGCACACUCAACGCUUAUUCGAGAUGCCCGGGGCUCAAAUCCCGUCGAGGGCU